GCAGAUUUUGAGGAUUUUGACUGGACCUUUGUCCUUGGAAUCUUUGGAGUUUCUAGUUGAUGAAGUUUGCAAGCCAGUUGAAGCAUUUUCAAAUAAAGCUGUGAACAUUGCCAAAGUAAAUCAGAGUUCUAUUUGGGCAAUUACAGUAACUUUCCCUUCUUGGUUCAUUUUCGCUUCUAUUUUACUCUUCUCAGAAAAGAGUUUGAGGGACAAGUACAGC
Molecule: unclassified non-coding RNA, 220 nt
Filed under: Hevea brasiliensis (rubber tree)
Lineage: Eukaryota; Viridiplantae; Streptophyta; Magnoliopsida; Malpighiales; Euphorbiaceae
Source: RNAcentral